GAGAACUCCAGACUACUGAUGUAGAUGUGUGAGGGUGUCCCCACAGUUUGCCUCCGGGGACUCUUGGCCUGGAGUGACCUUCCUUUUUGGGGGUAGAUGAGCUUCCGGAAAGCCUGCCGUGCAGCCCUGAAACCUCGGAGCUGUGCCAGAUGGCUCUUGCCUCGGUGACGUUGAUGUCAUGAUGCCGCCAGCCUGGGGAGUGACGCGGCCAGAAACAGGAAGGUGCAGAGGCCCCUGGCACAGAGUAGGUGUGCCGUGAACACUGGCUGCCUAUAGCUGACAUCAGGACAGGCGACCCAGUGUGCCCGGGGCCACCGCCCGGCCCCCAGCCCCCAGCCACAGCCCUGCCGCUGAGACCUCGGGGCUUCCCUUUCCCCACCUCUCAGGUGAUGUAGUGAGGGGCAUGAGGACGGUGUGAAGCAGGAGGGUAGGAGUUGUGCCCGCUGGAACCCCCACGCCUCCGGACCUGCCCCUCUGCUCCGAGGGUGGACGGGUCCUGUUCAGGUAGGGGCCCAAAGGGGGAGGCACCGGGCUGGCUGGGAAAGUGAGGACGAGGAAGCAGCUGGGAAUAAGCCCUGGGAGGCUCCAUUGGGGUUUGGCCCCUUCCUGAGGUGUAGAAGAGGGGAGUGGAGGAGAACUGGGGAUGACCGUGUCAGGUCGCCCAUGGUGCGGGGAGGUGCUGAGGUGAUGGUCCAGGGGGUGAACCGUGGCAUCUCCAGCAGACCCCGCAGGGGCCCAAGGAGAGAAAUGCCAGAAUUGGCAAGGGACCCAGGCAGACAGGAGCUGCAGAUGGGGCACCAGCAGCAGUGAUGAGCUCAGGGGAAAUGGAGUGAAAGCCGGAAGCUUACAGCAGCGCCUACCUGGAGGGGCCUUGUGGCUGGGAUGGGGUCCUAGGGAGCACACAGGGCAUCAAGCACCAGGGCCCUGGGCCAGGAACCCGCUCCUGUGGUUCCUUACAGGAACCAGUAAGCCGAGCAGGAGGAGGCCAGAUCAGGAAGGGGCUUGAGGGUCUUCCAAGGUUGGAGUGGGCAAGGGUCCAGGGAGGAGGAGAGGCGGUAAAGCCAGACUGGAUGGUGACAUAACCCCGGGGGAGCAGCUGUGGCUGCUGCUGGAGGGAGCCGAGGGAACCCAAGAGGCGUCCUAGAGAAGAAUUCGGAAGGGAUGCGCCGGUGGGGGCAGACCCCGAGUGGUGCAGGGACUCGGGUGGACGCCCGCGCUGGCCCCGGCCUUCGCUCAGGAGGACACCAGCCUGCGGCAGCUGGCUCCGUUUUAUCUUCCAAGGUGGAAAUGGCUUUGCAGUUUAUGGCCAUUUCUAGGGUUGCCGGAUGUAGCAAAUAAAAGUACACAUGUUGUAUGGGACAUCUUCACACUAAAAAGUUACUUAUUUGAAAUUUGAAGUUUAUCUGGGUAUACCGUAUUUCCUCUAGCAAAUGUAACCAUAACAGGUAUAAAUAAUCCAGCUAACACGAAAAUAAAAAGUGAGAACUGUCUACAAUCCCACCCCAAAAGGGUAAUCUCGAAAGCAAUUCGAUGUGUAUCUUGCCCAGGUUUUUUUUUUUUUUUUUAAUGUUUAUUUUUGAGAGAGAGAGAGAGAGAGACCGGGCAUGAGCAGGGGAGGGGCAGAAAGAGAGAGGGAGACAGAAUCCGAAGCGGGCUCCAGGCUCCGAGCUGUCAGCACAGAGUCCGACGUGGGGCCCGAGCCCACAAACCGCGAGAUCGUGACCUGAGCCGAAGGCAGGCACUUAACUAACUGAGCCCCCCAGGUGCCCCUUGCCCAGGGUUUUCAUACAAGCUUGCAGAUCAAAAGAACAAAAAAGAUUUUGCUCUAUGUACUCUUCUCUAAUCUGAUUUCACUUAACGAAACACCUAUUUCCAUGUGAAAUCAGCCCAGCUGUGUCCAGCUCCCUGUCUGGAACCGUUCUCGGAGAAGCCGGCCUGCUCUGACACCGCGGUGGGUCCCUCCGGUCAUUUCAUCAGAAAACAUGCUUAGCAGUGGAAUUUUUUUAAUUGAAGAUUUUAUGGAGAUAGUUACAGACUCCUACGCGAUUCCAGGAAAUAAUGCUGAAGGACCCCUGGUACAGGUGAGCUAGACCUACCCAAUGGUAACUAACGUUCUUUAAAAGGAUAGCGGGAGAAUCACAGCCAGAAUAGUGACGCUGAUAUGGUUCACUGACUUUGUUCCAAUUUCCCCAGUUUUACUUGUCCUAAUGUAUGCAUCAAAUUCUGUACGUUUAUUUUUAUUUUUUUUAAUAUUUAUUUCUGAGAGACAGAGUGAGACAGAGCAUGAGCAGGGAAGGGACAGAGAGAGAGAGACAGAAUCUGAAGCCAGCUCCAGGCUCUGAGCUGUCAGCACAGAGCCCAACACGGGGCUCGAACUCAUGAACCGUGAGAUCAUGACCUGAGCCGAAGUUGGACGCUCAACCGACCGAGCCACCCAGGCACCUCUUACUUCCCCGUUUUAAAAGUUGUAUUUAGUUGGAUGUACAGAGAGAGAUGAGUCCACAUCAUCUACUCUUGAACCAGAAGUCCCUGGUGUUAUUUUUUCGUUUUACUUAUGUAACUAUUUCUUCAAUGUAUUUUUACAACCGCUUUUUUAAGAUAUAAUUCACAUACCAUACAAUUCACUCAUUUAAAAUGUACAAUUUAAAGGUUUGUAGUGUAUGUGUGGGGUUGUGAAACCCGCACCACUCAAUCUUAGAACACCAUCAUCCCCAAAGAAACCCCAUACCCAUUAAAAGUCAGUCCCCAUUUCUUCCUCCCCUGAGGCCCGACAACCACAGAUAUGCUUUCUGUGUCUAUAGAUUGGCCUAUCAUUGACAUUUCACAUAAAUGGAAUCAUUCAAUAUGUGGCCUGUGGGCAUCUUUCCUUUGCGUAAUGUUUUCAAGAUUCAUCCAUGUAAUUUCAGUACUUUGUUCCUUUGUUUGUGGACACAUAACAUUUUAUCUGUCUGUUCAUCAGUUGAUGGCCAUUUGGUUUAUUUUCACUUACUGACUAUCGUGAAUAACAUUGCUG
RNAcentral lists this long non-coding RNA (3013 nucleotides) under Lynx pardinus (Iberian lynx). Lineage: Eukaryota; Metazoa; Chordata; Mammalia; Carnivora; Felidae. The record is from RNAcentral.